This 484-nucleotide ribosomal RNA is filed under the name uncultured bacterium. RNAcentral's name for it is "partial 16S ribosomal RNA". It matches the Rfam family "Bacterial small subunit ribosomal RNA", at positions 30 to 507 of the family's 1533-position model. The record is from RNAcentral.
AUUGAACGCUGGCGGCAGGCCUAACACAUGCAAGUCGAGCGGAUGAAGGGAGCUUGCUCCUGGAUUCAGCGGCGGAAGGGUGAGUAAUGCCUAGGAAUCUGCCUGGUAGGGGGGGAUAACGUCCGGAAACGGGCGCUAAUACCGCAUACGUCCUGAGGGAGAAAGUGGGGGGUCUUCGGACCUCACGCUAUCAGAUGAGCCUAGGUCGGAUUAGCUAGUUGGUGGGGUAAAGGCCUACCAAGGCGACGAUCCGUAACUGGUCUGAGAGGAUGAUCAGUCACACUGGAACUGAGACACGGUCCAGACUCCUACGGGAGGCAGCAGUGGGGAAUAUUGGACAAUGGGCGAAAGCCUGAUCCAGCCAUGCCGCGUGUGUGAAGAAGGUCUUCGGAUUGUAAAGCACUUUAAGUUGGGAGGAAGGGCAGUAAGUUAAUACCUUGCUGUUUUGACGUUACCAACAGAAUAAGCACCGGCUAACUUCGUG